This 2762-nucleotide ribosomal RNA is filed under the name Escherichia coli. Its description in RNAcentral is "partial 23S ribosomal RNA". It matches the Rfam family "Bacterial large subunit ribosomal RNA". Lineage: Bacteria; Pseudomonadati; Pseudomonadota; Gammaproteobacteria; Enterobacterales; Enterobacteriaceae. The record is from RNAcentral.
GAUUCGUCACACUAUCAUUAACUGAAUCCAUAGGUUAAUGAGGCGAACCGGGGGAACUGAAACAUCUAAGUACCCCGAGGAAAAGAAAUCAACCGAGAUUCCCCCAGUAGCGGCGAGCGAACGGGGAGGAGCCCAGAGCCUGAAUCAGUGUGUGUGUUAGUGGAAGCGUCUGGAAAGGCGCGCGAUACAGGGUGACAGCCCCGUACACAAAAAUGCACAUGCUGUGAGCUCGAUGAGUAGGGCGGGACACGUGGUAUCCUGUCUGAAUAUGGGGGGACCAUCCUCCAAGGCUAAAUACUCCUGACUGACCGAUAGUGAACCAGUACCGUGAGGGAAAGGCGAAAAGAACCCCGGCGAGGGGAGUGAAAAAGAACCUGAAACCGUGUACGUACAAGCAGUGGGAGCACAGAGCAAUCUGUGUGACUGCGUACCUUUUGUAUAAUGGGUCAGCGACUUAUAUUCUGUAGCAAGGUUAACCGAAUAGGGGAGCCGAAGGGAAACCGAGUCUUAACUGGGCGUUAAGUUGCAGGGUAUAGACCCGAAACCCGGUGAUCUAGCCAUGGGCAGGUUGAAGGUUGGGUAACACUAACUGGAGGACCGAACCGACUAAUGUUGAAAAAUUAGCGGAUGACUUGUGGCUGGGGGUGAAAGGCCAAUCAAACCGGGAGAUAGCUGGUUCUCCCCGAAAGCUAUUUAGGUAGCGCCUCGUGAAUUCAUCUCCGGGGGUAGAGCACUGUUUCGGCAAGGGGGUCAUCCCGACUUACCAACCCGAUGCAAACUGCGAAUACCGGAGAAUGUUAUCACGGGAGACACACGGCGGGUGCUAACGUCCGUCGUGAAGAGGGAAACAACCCAGACCGCCAGCUAAGGUCCCAAAGUCAUGGUUAAGUGGGAAACGAUGUGGGAAGGCCCAGACAGCCAGGAUGUUGGCUUAGAAGCAGCCAUCAUUUAAAGAAAGCGUAAUAGCUCACUGGUCGAGUCGGCCUGCGCGGAAGAUGUAACGGGGCUAAACCAUGCACCGAAGCUGCGGCAGCGACGCUUAUGCGUUGUUGGGUAGGGGAGCGUUCUGUAAGCCUGCGAAGGUGUGCUGUGAGGCAUGCUGGAGGUAUCAGAAGUGCGAAUGCUGACAUAAGUAACGAUAAAGCGGGUGAAAAGCCCGCUCGCCGGAAGACCAAGGGUUCCUGUCCAACGUUAAUCGGGGCAGGGUGAGUCGACCCCUAAGGCGAGGCCGAAAGGCGUAGUCGAUGGGAAACAGGUUAAUAUUCCUGUACUUGGUGUUACUGCGAAGGGGGGACGGAGAAGGCUAUGUUGGCCGGGCGACGGUUGUCCCGGUUUAAGCGUGUAGGCUGGUUUUCCAGGCAAAUCCGGAAAAUCAAGGCUGAGGCGUGAUGACGAGGCACUACGGUGCUGAAGCAACAAAUGCCCUGCUUCCAGGAAAAGCCUCUAAGCAUCAGGUAACAUCAAAUCGUACCCCAAACCGACACAGGUGGUCAGGUAGAGAAUACCAAGGCGCUUGAGAGAACUCGGGUGAAGGAACUAGGCAAAAUGGUGCCGUAACUUCGGGAGAAGGCACGCUGAUAUGUAGGUGAAGCGACUUGCUCGUGGAGCUGAAAUCAGUCGAAGAUACCAGCUGGCUGCAACUGUUUAUUAAAAACACAGCACUGUGCAAACACGAAAGUGGACGUAUACGGUGUGACGCCUGCCCGGUGCCGGAAGGUUAAUUGAUGGGGUCAGCGCAAGCGAAGCUCUUGAUCGAAGCCCCGGUAAACGGCGGCCGUAACUAUAACGGUCCUAAGGUAGCGAAAUUCCUUGUCGGGUAAGUUCCGACCUGCACGAAUGGCGUAAUGAUGGCCAGGCUGUCUCCACCCGAGACUCAGUGAAAUUGAACUCGCUGUGAAGAUGCAGUGUACCCGCGGCAAGACGGAAAGACCCCGUGAACCUUUACUAUAGCUUGACACUGAACAUUGAGCCUUGAUGUGUAGGAUAGGUGGGAGGCUUUGAAGUGUGGACGCCAGUCUGCAUGGAGCCGACCUUGAAAUACCACCCUUUAAUGUUUGAUGUUCUAACGUUGACCCGUAAUCCGGGUUGCGGACAGUGUCUGGUGGGUAGUUUGACUGGGGCGGUCUCCUCCUAAAGAGUAACGGAGGAGCACGAAGGUUGGCUAAUCCUGGUCGGACAUCAGGAGGUUAGUGCAAUGGCAUAAGCCAGCUUGACUGCGAGCGUGACGGCGCGAGCAGGUGCGAAAGCAGGUCAUAGUGAUCCGGUGGUUCUGAAUGGAAGGGCCAUCGCUCAACGGAUAAAAGGUACUCCGGGGAUAACAGGCUGAUACCGCCCAAGAGUUCAUAUCGACGGCGGUGUUUGGCACCUCGAUGUCGGCUCAUCACAUCCUGGGGCUGAAGUAGGUCCCAAGGGUAUGGCUGUUCGCCAUUUAAAGUGGUACGCGAGCUGGGUUUAGAACGUCGUGAGACAGUUCGGUCCCUAUCUGCCGUGGGCGCUGGAGAACUGAGGGGGGCUGCUCCUAGUACGAGAGGACCGGAGUGGACGCAUCACUGGUGUUCGGGUUGUCAUGCCAAUGGCACUGCCCGGUAGCUAAAUGCGGAAGAGAUAAGUGCUGAAAGCAUCUAAGCACGAAACUUGCCCCGAGAUGAGUUCUCCCUGACUCCUUGAGAGUCCUGAAGGAACGUUGAAGACGACGACGUUGAUAGGCCGGGUGUGUAAGCGCAGCGAUGCGUUGAGCUAACCGGUACUAAUGAACCGUGAGG